GUUAGGUUGUACGGGAUGACUAAUAAACCUAGACGUCUGUUUGUCUACAUGCGAUGUAUUGUUAGGUUGUGCGGGAUGACUAAUAAACCUAGACGUCUGUUUGUCUACAUGUGAUGUGUUGUUAGGUUGUGCGGGAUGACUAAUAAACCUAGACGCCUGUUUGUCUACAUGUGAUGUAUUGUUAGGUUGUGCGGAAUGACUAAUAAACCUAGACGUCUGUUUGUCUACAUGUGAUGUAUUAAUACACAGCCACGUCCGUUAGGUUGUACGGGAUGACUAAUAAACCUAGACGUCUGUUUGUCUACAUGUGAUGUAUUAAUACACAACCGUCCGUUAGAUUGUACGGGAUGACUAAUAAACCUAGACGUCUGUUUGUCUACAUGUGAUGUAUUAAUACACAACCGUCCGUUAGGUUGUACGGGAUGACUAAUAAACCUAGACGUCUGUUUGUCUACAUGUGAUGUAUUUUAAGGGUUGUACGGGAUGACUAAUAAACCUAGACGUCUGUUUGUCUACAUGUGAUGUAUUACUACGGUACAUGACCCAGUUCAUUUGUUCAAAAGGUUUCGUUGUUUCUUACAGACACCAACACAAAAGUAAAUACAGAUAAUCUAAAAAUACAGAAGCCUUUCGAACCUGUCGGACUUUAUCCAGGGGCGGAUCCAGCCAUUUUUAAAAGGGGGAGUUCCAACCAUAUGUCCCCAUUCUAA
Molecule: long non-coding RNA, 710 nt
Organism: Mytilus californianus (California mussel)
Lineage: Eukaryota; Metazoa; Mollusca; Bivalvia; Mytilida; Mytilidae
Exons: 5
Source: RefSeq, a predicted model, not a curated record